This 112-nucleotide ribosomal RNA is filed under the name Caerostris extrusa. Lineage: Eukaryota; Metazoa; Arthropoda; Arachnida; Araneae; Araneidae. The record is from RNAcentral.
AACGGCCAUACCAUGCUGAAUAUACCGGUUCCCGUUAGAUCACCGAAGUCAAGCAUCAUUGGGCGCGGUCAGUACUUGGGUGGGUGACCACCUGGGAACACUGCGUGCCGUU